RNAcentral lists this ribosomal RNA (610 nucleotides) under Renicolidae sp. LKA-2014. RNAcentral describes it as "eukaryotic LSU rRNA". It matches the Rfam family "Eukaryotic large subunit ribosomal RNA", at positions 303 to 609 of the family's 3401-position model. The record is from RNAcentral. Lineage: Eukaryota; Metazoa; Platyhelminthes; Trematoda; Plagiorchiida; Renicolidae.
ACUCCAUCCAAGGCUAAAUAUCAACACGAGUCCGAUAGCGAACAAGUACCGUGAGGGAAAGUUGAAAAGUACUUUGAAGAGAGAGUAAACAGUACGUGAAACCGCUCAGAGGUAAACGGGUGGAGUUGAACUGCAAGCACUGAGAAUUAUCGGCGGUGAGUGUGGUUUUUGCUUGGUUUCGGUUGAGCUCGGAAGUCCGUGUUGUAGCGGGCCAUUGCCUUCUGGUGGUGGUGCGUAUACGCUUAUCAGGUGUUGCGCGCUUCCGAUGCCUCGGAUCAGCUUGCCGUUGAACUUCUUAGUGUGAUCACCACGACCGACACCGCUGCCCGGCUGCUAUGGUCAAACCAGUCGCGUGUUGCUCUUUGUAGCUUAACGCGGUUGGGAUGGCAGGUGGCUCGUUAUUUUAGCGCGUGUGGCUUGCCACGCGUGUUGAGUUUCGGGUGUUACAAGCCGAUCGUAGUGGUUCUGUGCGGUGUGUCGGAGACAGCGGCUUGUGUGCUUGCGCGUGCCAGUUCGGUCGGCGGAUUCGGGUGUGGUUGUUGUGUUGCCUGUUCAACCAGGCCCAGCAAUGGCUCGGAAUCGUUCGGCUGGCGGUUGCGCGUGCGACAUU